UACCUGAUAACUGUUACUGAUAACUGAAAUAGGGUAAGGGUGCAAAGGUGCGGUAAGAGCGCACCAGCAACGUCGAGAGGCGUUGGCUCGGUAAACCCCGGUUGGAAGCAAGGUUGAACGGAGCAAUGGUUGGUCUUUAACCUGCUUCGGGUAAAAGUAGGGAAAUUUGCUUUUGCGCAAUCCGCUAGAGGUGUCUGGUAACAGGCAUCCCAGAUAGAUAACCGUCCUUCGACAGAACCCGGCUUAUGUCUGCCUCUCCCC
This 261-nucleotide RNase P RNA is filed under the name Nostoc sp. HG1. RNAcentral's name for it is "partial RNase P RNA component class A". It matches the Rfam family "Bacterial RNase P class A", at positions 132 to 367 of the family's 367-position model. From Rfam's summary of the family: Ribonuclease P (RNase P) is a ubiquitous endoribonuclease, found in archaea, bacteria and eukarya as well as chloroplasts and mitochondria. Its best characterised activity is the generation of mature 5'-ends of tRNAs by cleaving the 5'-leader elements of precursor-tRNAs. The record is from RNAcentral. Lineage: Bacteria; Bacillati; Cyanobacteriota; Cyanophyceae; Nostocales; Nostocaceae.